Molecule: ribosomal RNA, 497 nt
Filed under: uncultured bacterium
Lineage: Bacteria
Description: partial 16S ribosomal RNA
Rfam family: Bacterial small subunit ribosomal RNA
Source: RNAcentral
GAUGAACGCUGGCGGCGUGCCUAAUACAUGCAACUCGAGCGAACGGACGAGAAGCUUGCUUCUCUGAUGUUAGCGGCGGACGGGUGAGUAACACGUGGAUAACCUACCUAUAAGACUGGGAUAACUUCGGGAAACCGGAGCUAAUACCGGAUAAUAUUUUGAACCGCAUGGUUCAAAAGUGAAAGACGGUCUUGCUGUCACUUAUAGAUGGAUCCGCGCUGCAUUAGCUAGUUGGUAAGGUAACGGCUUACCAAGGCAACGAUGCAUAGCCGACCUGAGAGGGUGAUCGGCCACACUGGAACUGAGACACGGUCCAGACUCCUACGGGAGGCAGCAGUAGGGAAUCUUCCGCAAUGGGCGAAAGCCUGACGGAGCAACGCCGCGUGAGUGAUGAAGGUCUUCGGAUCGUAAAACUCUGUUAUUAGGGAAGAACAUAUGUGUAAGUAACUGUGCACAUCUUGACGGUACCUAAUCAGAAAGCCACGGCUAACUACGUG